Molecule: ribosomal RNA, 261 nt
Filed under: uncultured bacterium
Lineage: Bacteria
Description: partial 16S ribosomal RNA
Rfam family: Bacterial small subunit ribosomal RNA
Source: RNAcentral
UACGUAGGGUGCGAGCGUUAAUCGGAAUUACUGGGCGUAAAGCGUGCGCAGGCGGUUGUGUAAGACAGGUGUGAAAUCCCCGGGCUUAACCUGGGAACUGCGCUUGUGACUGCACGGCUAGAGUACGGCAGAGGGGGGUGGAAUUCCACGUGUAGCAGUGAAAUGCGUAGAUAUGUGGAGGAACACCGAUGGCGAAGGCAGCUUACUACGCAUAUAUUGACGCUCAUGCACGAAAGCGUGGGUAGCAAACAGGAUUAGAAA